RNAcentral lists this ribosomal RNA (403 nucleotides) under uncultured bacterium. RNAcentral describes it as "partial 16S ribosomal RNA". It matches the Rfam family "Bacterial small subunit ribosomal RNA", at positions 30 to 526 of the family's 1533-position model. The record is from RNAcentral.
AUUGAACGCUGGCGGCAGGCCUAACACAUGCAAGUCGAGCGAGCGGCGGACGGGUGAGUAAUGUAUGGGGAAUGCGCGAUAGAGGGGGAUAACUACUGGAAACGCUGGCUCAUACAGCAUACUGUCGGAUAACCCAUAGGGGAUUAGCUAGGAGGUAAGGUAAUGGCUUACCAAGGCGACGAUCCCUAGCUGGUCUGAGAGGAUGAUCAGCCACACUGGGACUGAGACACGGCCCAGACUCCUACGGAGGCAGCAGUGGGGAAUAUUGCACAAUGGGCGCAAGCCUGAUGCAGCCAUGCCGCGUGUAUGAAGAAGGCCCUAGGGUUGUAAAGUACUUUCAGUCGGGAGGCGUUACCGGCAGAAGAAGCACCGGCUAACUCCGUGCCAGCAGCCGCGGUAAUUC